GGAUUGAAGAUGACCCCCUCAAAAAUGCAAUCCUUGGAAGCUGAACAAAAUGAGUGAGAACUCCAAUCGUCAUUCUCAUCGGAUCUGAGGUUC
Pteronotus mesoamericanus is the source of this 93-nucleotide small nucleolar RNA. RefSeq annotates it as small nucleolar RNA SNORD116. The transcript has a single exon. NCBI's taxonomy places the organism in Eukaryota, Metazoa, Chordata, Mammalia, Chiroptera, Mormoopidae. The record is from RefSeq and is a predicted model, not a curated record.